This 253-nucleotide ribosomal RNA is filed under the name uncultured bacterium. RNAcentral's name for it is "partial 16S ribosomal RNA". It matches the Rfam family "Bacterial small subunit ribosomal RNA", at positions 524 to 776 of the family's 1533-position model. The record is from RNAcentral.
UACGUAGGGGGCAAGCGUUGUCCGGAAUUAUUGGGCGUAAAGAGCGUGUAGGCGGUCCGGUAAGUCGGCUGUGAAAGUCCAGGGCUCAACCCUGGGAUGCCGGUCGAUACUGCCGGACUAGAGUUCGGAAGAGGCGAGUGGAAUUCCCGGUGUAGCGGUGAAAUGCGUAGAGAUCGGGAAGAACAUCGGUGGCGAAAGCGCUCUACUGGACGGUGACUGACACUCAGGGACGAAAGCUAGGGGAGCGAAUGGG